This 86-nucleotide transfer RNA is filed under the name Friedmanniomyces endolithicus. RNAcentral's name for it is "tRNA-Ile". The stretch from base 6 to 75 matches the Rfam family "tRNA". From Rfam's summary of the family: Transfer RNA (tRNA) molecules are approximately 80 nucleotides in length. Lineage: Eukaryota; Fungi; Ascomycota; Dothideomycetes; Mycosphaerellales; Teratosphaeriaceae. The record is from RNAcentral.
GUCACGGUCGUUUAGCUCAGUUGGUUAGAGCGUGGUGCUAAUAACGCCAAGGUCGCGAGUUCGACCGUACGUCCCCCCAUGUGGCA